This 465-nucleotide ribosomal RNA is filed under the name Vreelandella stevensii. Its description in RNAcentral is "partial 16S ribosomal RNA". It matches the Rfam family "Bacterial small subunit ribosomal RNA", at positions 338 to 795 of the family's 1533-position model. The record is from RNAcentral. Lineage: Bacteria; Pseudomonadati; Pseudomonadota; Gammaproteobacteria; Oceanospirillales; Halomonadaceae.
CCUACGGGGGGCAGCAGUGGGGAAUAUUGGACAAUGGGCGAAAGCCUGAUCCAGCCAUGCCGCGUGUGUGAAGAAGGCCUUCGGGUUGUAAAGCACUUUCAGUGGGGAAGAAAGCCUUGGGGCUAAUACCCUCGAGGAAGGACAUCACCCACAGAAGAAGCACCGGCUAACUCCGUGCCAGCAGCCGCGGUAAUACGGAGGGUGCGAGCGUUAAUCGGAAUUACUGGGCGUAAAGCGCGCGUAGGCGGUUUGAUAAGCCGGUUGUGAAAGCCCCGGGCUCAACCUGGGAACGGCAUCCGGAACUGUCAGGCUAGAGUGCAGGAGAGGAAGGUAGAAUUCCCGGUGUAGCGGUGAAAUGCGUAGAGAUCGGGAGGAAUACCAGUGGCGAAGGCGGCCUUCUGGACUGACACUGACGCUGAGGUGCGAAAGCGUGGGUAGCAAACAGGAUUAGAUACCCGGGUAGUC